RNAcentral lists this long non-coding RNA (583 nucleotides) under Mytilus galloprovincialis (Mediterranean mussel). The record is from RNAcentral. Lineage: Eukaryota; Metazoa; Mollusca; Bivalvia; Mytilida; Mytilidae.
CCCAACCUUCCUUUAAUGGUCAUAAACCUUGUGUUUAAAUUUCAUAGAUUUCUAUUUAUUUUUACUCAAGUUAUAGUGCAAAAACCAAAUGUCUUCGGACAACGACGCCAACGCCAUAUCAAUAAACGACCAAAAAUUUUUCAAUUUUUGCGGUCUUACAAAAACAGACCAAAACACAAAAACUCAACACUGCGUAAUGAACUGUGAAAAUGAGGUCAAGGUCAAAUAAAACCUGUGCGACUGACAUAUACUAAGCUCAUUAUAUUUCCAAACAUCAAAUAUUGUUGACCUAUUGCAUAUAGUAUUAGAAAAAAGACCAAAACUCAAAACUUAACUAUAACCACUGAACCAUGAAAAUGAGGUCAAGGUCAGAGGACACCUGCCAGCUUGACAUGUACACACCUUACAAUUAUUACAUACACCAAAAUGAAGUAGACCUAUUGCAUAUAGUAUAAGAAAAACAGACCAAAACACAACAAGAGUGCACACGCUGAAAUGUCUCGCCUUCUAUACUAAUCAUUGAUAUUAUGUUGAUAGUCCUAAGUAUAAAGCUAAGCUUUAAUACAACUGUCACAUAAACUUA